Long non-coding RNA from Pseudopipra pipra, 5381 nucleotides. RefSeq lists it as uncharacterized. NCBI's taxonomy places the organism in Eukaryota, Metazoa, Chordata, Aves, Passeriformes, Pipridae. The record is from RefSeq and is a predicted model, not a curated record. The transcript has 8 exons.
ACCACCCUUUAGCUGCUGGUAAUGCUUCCAUGAUGCGGCCCAGGAUAUGUUUGGCUUUCUGAGCUGCAAGUGAACACUGCUGGACUAUUCCCAACAUUUGUAGCGGCACAGCAACUUCUUAGGUAGUAUCCCAAAUACGUUCCAAUUCCAGCACCCAGAGUGGACUGGAAUUGGUGUAUGUGGCACAGCCCUUACUCAUCCCCAGCAUGGACCCCCAAUCUACACCAGUUAUCUGAACCAUCUGUUGGUGGGAAUGCAGUUACUGUGACAUCUGGUCACAUCCGCCAGCUGUUGCAGAGAAGGGAUGGAGUCAAAGGUGUCUGAGAGGAGGGAGGAGCACUGUGGGAUCCUGCUGGGUGUAAGUUUAUGGAUGACAGGCAAGCAUGUGAAUCCUGAAUUUAUAUACAGAAAAAUAAAGAAAUCCAAAUUGGUAAUAUAUUGAAGAAGUUAAAAGAAUGACAUAGAUACAAUGUUCCCAGCAUAGAGCCUGAAGUUAACAUCAAAAUCCAGCCGAAGAAGAUAGACCGUAUAUCUGGGAUUGGCAAUAAACAAGCUCUGUGAAUAAAUAUACCUGAUGAAACAGUGAAAUAGUCUGUGUGGCACUGAGAAUGUUCCUCCCCUUGCAGUACAGCAGCUGGAAAAUUAUGACACAACCGCAGUGACACAGUUCCCCCCCAUGGAGCAUUUUUACAGCAAGACAAGUAAAAAAUCCCCUAUAGGUGUGAAGACCUUUCUACCAAGUGUGUUUUUCUACAAAGGUACAGCAAGUCAGUCCAAUGCAUCCCUCAUCACCAAAUCACGUGCUUUUGGCAGCCAGUAGCCAGCUACCAGCUGAGUCAAGAUACACCCUCAUCUCCUGCCUGUUGCCUUUGAACAGCAGUUAUGGAUUAAGCCUGACAGUGUGAAAAUAAAUGGGAGAGUGUAGCUGAAGCCAAGCAUUUAUCAAGCCUGGAUGUACUCUAUGCAAGGCAAAACUGGACUAUUAAUACAUCCUUUCUGAUUUAAUUAAUCAUUAAGAGAGUGAUUGUGAUUUCUAUUGUCCCCUUCACAGGAAUCCAUGCAAAUGUAGAAAGGACCUUUAGACUGUGAAGAGCAGCACAAGACAAAGAACAAAUGUGUUUGUCCCCAACUGCAGUAAAUAGCUGAAGAAGCUGAGAUCAGAAGCUAAUCAGUGGUGGCACUUGACAUAUCAGUAGUUCAUGUGAAAUGACGAGUUGGAGAAAAGGCCAUGAAGGCACGUGACAGGUUAUCUGUGAAGUGACAGAAAUGGGUAAAAAAAAAAAGAAGAAAAAAAGAAAAAAAAAGGAAAGGAUGCAAAGAGAGGAAUAGAGAGAUGCCCCUUGCGGAAACAUUUCAGAUGGCUGUCCCUAAGCCUAAUCUGGAUUUGUAAAAUCUGCAGAAAGAUGUUGCACACGUAAGAUGAAAGCUGGGGAAAACUGUGCAGAUGAAGUGUCACCCACAUUAUUAUGGAGCUGACAGGUCCAAGCCCACUGCUUUCCAGGUAGGAGACCUCAGCAAGGACAGCCCUCUUGGGUCCACUUAGCUCAUGGUCCUGUCUCCAAGAAUGACAAGUUGCAGAUUCCUCUGGAAAAGAAGCAACACAUAAACAGGAAAGAAUGGCAAAAGUGAUCACUGAAAUACCUUGUGGAGAUGCUGAGACAUUUUGGGACAGGGAGGGUCGGCUAAGAACUCACAGCUAAGCCAAACUGCUGAUGAAUACCUUUUGCCACCUUUGGUUUCUCAUAAGAAAGGUUGCAGCUUGAAUAGAAAGUCAAUAGCUCUUUCCCCCUUCACCAGAUCAUCUCAGAGGAAACUGCUGCUCUGUAAUUCCCUGAAGAAUUGCCCAGGAAAAUCAAAAAAUGCUAAACUUAGCAAAGAUAAUGUUUCUGAAAGAUAAUGGAGGGAGAAAAAAAAAAAACAGUCCGAGGAGCAAGCCAGAGUUUUUCACAUGCACUGUAAAGAAAAAGGACAGAGAUACACAUUUCCUAUCAUUGUAGGUCACUCUUCAGUGCUUCAUCUUGAUAUGAAUAGAUCCCUCAACAGUUAACUCAGCCAAGGGAGAUUUCAGAUCAAUCCUCCUUACUCCAGCCAUGCCUUCUUCUAAAUCAAUAAUGGCUGAUGAAUACCUCUGCCAAGCUCAUAACACAGACACAAUGGAAAUCCUGCUCUUUUAGAAAGUGCCUUUGCAAGCCCUUUGGAUAAGGGGUGCUUUACUGCUUCUCCUCUAAAUCUCAGCAGUGAAGCUGAAUUCCUGAUGAUGCUGCCAUUCUGCAGAGGCAGCACUGCACUGUAACCUGCUCCUCUCUGCUCUUGGAGGAUUUAGCAAGAGCUGUUUGAAUUCAUUUGGAAAUGAAUUCAAACACACGACCCAUAUACCUUUCAUCUUUAAUAAAGUCUGGGUUUUUUUUUAUUUAGACUCUGCUUUCACAGCAGAAGCAACCUUGUUUUUCAAAAUAUCACUCUGAUAAUUGGAGAUUUUUUUUUUAAAGUGUAAAGUUCUGUAAGCAGUGUGAGCUAUCUGAAUUAAGAGUUAGGGUUUCCUUGCCUGCAAAAACUGGGAAAACUUAAAAAGUCGGAAAGAUCAGGUGGAUCUUGCAGUUUACAUUCGUACAUCAAAACCCUUAAUUGCACUGAAGCACUGAAAAAAGAAUCACUUCUGUUAACUUGAAAGCUAGGAUGCAAUUUUUUGAGAAUUCUAUCCUUUUUGAUGUAGAUAUUCCCAGUAAAAACUAUGCCUGAUUAUAAUGUACAGUAGCAAUGUCCAUAAUUAAAAUAUUUUCUCUUUCAAAAAUCCCCAGUAAUAAUAAUAAUAUCUCUUUUCAACAGUACAUGAAUCUAAAAUAAUAAAAUAAAACCGAAGUUACAAACAUAUACCACUCCAGCAUAUGCAAACAGACUUGGCAGUUCUAAAUACAGAUUUAUGUCUGGAAGGAUGUAUUCUCCUUGAAGCUGUUUGUGCAACCUACUUAUCAGAAGAAAGAGAUUUCCUGGAGAUUUCCUUUAAUUAGUUGGAACAAGCUAUCAGUAAAAUAAGCAACUAAAACUAUAAGCAUAUAAGCUGGCAUAGUUUAUUAAAAAACAAUAAUUGAAAAUAUAUCCUAAAAUUCAAGAAGGGAGUGGCCAAGUUCAGUAAUAACUAUUUCUGUGUGCACAACACUUUUUAUAAGAGUCUAGGGAGGGAAAAGUUAGCAGUCUGCUAGCAAAGAUAAUGAGGGGACAGAAAAUACAUGAUCCAUGCUAAUUUGGUUUACGUCCCUCCCUUUUCCAGUUUCUGAAAGUCUGCUUAUUCUUGUGGCAUUUAGGAAUCAUCAUCCCUGCCAGUGAUGGAUUUGCACUAAGUCAUUGAGGCAAUGUGAUGUCAUUUCCAAAAAUUCUGAAUCAGAUGAACUUUAAAGUUUGCAAUGCAGCUAUUUUACCCUGCCUGUUUGCUGGAGUAGCCACGGCCCAGGGUGAUUUGAAUAGGCGAGGUGAGCUUCCAGGGGAUUACAGGAGGCAGGAGAUGUGUUCCUUCUAUUACCCAUAAUAGGAAUUGUAUGACUCAUUCCUCUCACACCAGGCUAAAAUGUACCCCCGCAGUUCUCUACUAUGUAUAUUGACUUGAAUGAAGCUUUGUGUAAUAAGAUUUAAAUUGUAAUGAGUCAUUAUGUCAACCUUUUUUCGCUGGUAUUUUACAUAGUAAGUCUGCACAGAGUGCAGUGUGCUACUGCAGAAAAUCCUAGCAAGGGUGGUUAGUUGAGAGUGGUUAGCUUUAAAAAAAAAACUACUAGGAAAACUUCUCACAAAAUCUUAGCAUGACCAUAGUUUCAAAAGGAUGAUUUGUGUGUAUAAGUGUCCUUAUUACAGCCAUUAUCACCAGUCCAAGAUUCACUCCUUAAUCCAUUACAUUUAGUUAUAUGUCCUCAUUUGCUUUUAGUGGGACGAGACAGUCUUGUUUAUAUGGGCUUGAGGUGAAGGAUAUCAAAGUAUUAUUUUUCAAGAUUGUUUAAGCAUUCAGCCAUGCCCACUCACACAAAAAGCUGUUUCCUAAUAAUCCUUUUAUCAGCCUGAAGCUGAAACAACUUUCUUUCUUGCAAGGAUCUGUUAUUGAGAGUUUCUUAUUAGUAACUAGAUGCUGACAUGAUUUCACUGAAAAAUAAGCACAGUCCUGAAAAGCUUUUGAUUUAUUUUUUUUAAUUGCAUAACAUGUAAAGUAUAAACACAAACUGUAUCUCUUUAAUUGCUUAAAUUAAAAGGAUUUCUAGCUCAGCAGUUUCUCUCAUUUUCAGUACGCAUUGGUGGCAUGUUACCAAAGUACCUCUGAAAACACUAAAGCUGGCUGGGGCUGAAAGGGGUGUGGAAAUAUUAUUUUUGUGUUCACUGUAAAAGCUGUUCAAAACCACCAACAAACCCAUUGUUUUACUGUAGCAAAGCAAUGACUAUUUUGUGCAAAAUCAGCUGUAGAUAAAUAUCUUUUUUUUCUUAUAAUGAAGUAAAGAAAUAACUUUGUCUUGAGAUAUCAUUUUGUGUCCAGUGACUCUAAUAGGUAAAUUUUGUUAAUCUCCACCAAAAAGUAAACAGAUUCUAUGCCUAGAAUGUGGCUCUUCCUUGUCAACUUUUUAAAGACAGAGGUUAACAAAAUUUUUCAUGAAACAAAUACACAAUCUCCAAACAGUUUUCUCCACGAUUCUGCAUCAAUCUACAAAGGACUAUUCUCUGGCCAGUCUCUAAAUUCUGGUGCUCCCUGUUUAAAUAUCCCCAAGAAGUAUCAACACACUUCUCUUCUGCUCUCUUCUCACCUGAAAAUUUAAUAUCAAGAGUUAAAUGACUUAAUACUAUAAGAGAAUAAGUUGGGAAAGUGUGAGAAGGACCAAUGGAUUGACAACGAAAUGGGAAAGACAACUGAAGUUUAAAGCUUGUAGCACAUCACAGUAACUCCUGUGACUCUUGCAUUUGAACUCGUGAUUCUCUUAAAAAUCUAAGUGUUUACAAGGCAGGCACCAGAGGCUGUAGUUGAAAGCCACAGAACUGGCAAAUCUCAGUCUCUAAUAACUGGGGUCCUUUUCCCUUUUCUCCCCUAAUACAUAUUGCUGUGAAAUGGUGUCAAUAACCAAAAGACCACAGCGCUGGCUUCUUAUUUUCCCAGCUCAUCCUUGGAUGUACCUUUUCUCAUCCUCCCAGAAAACUGUUAUAUAUUUCAGGAUUGGUUUGCUUGUCUUUUUUUUUGCUGGCAGCGAUUCCUGCUCUCGUUAGUACAUGAAAGUCUAAUUGUGCUGGGCAGCUCUGUCUUGGCAAGCAACUCUGAAAUUAUAUGUGAAAUGGGACAGGAAUCUUGGAAAAGCCUGACACUGGAUAUCAUUAAUUCUACUUUGGUAGGGAAGUUUUUCUCAGGUGAAUUAUGUGCU